AGCGAACGCUGGCGGCAGGCCUAAUACAUGCAAGUCGAGCGGCCCUUCGGGGCAGCGGCGGACGGGUGAGUAACGCGUGGGAACGUGCCCUUUGGUACGGAACAACUGAGGGAAACUUCAGCUAAUACCGUAUGUGCCCUACGGGGGAAAGAUUUAUCGCCAUUGGAGCGGCCCGCGUUGGAUUAGCUAGUUGGUGGGGUAAAGGCCCACCAAGGCGACGAUCCAUAGCUGGUCUGAGAGGAUGAUCAGCCACACUGGGACUGAGACACGGCCCAGACUCCUACGGGAGGCAGCAGUAGGGAAUCUUGCGCAAUGGGCGAAAGCCUGACGCAGCCAUGCCGCGUGAAUGAUGAAGGUCUUAGGAUUGUAAAAUUCUUUCACCGGGGAAGAUAAUG
Molecule: ribosomal RNA, 395 nt
Filed under: uncultured bacterium
Lineage: Bacteria
Description: bacterial SSU rRNA
Rfam family: Bacterial small subunit ribosomal RNA
Source: RNAcentral